CAACAACAUAUUCAUUAAAUAGCAAAAUUUUCAUCAUUCCCACAAUCAAUCAAAUUUCAUGGGUUUAACAACAACAAUUUCAUCAUGCGCACAUUUUAACCAUUUUUCAUGAAUUUAACAACAACAGUUUCAUCAUUUUCACAAUUCAAUCAACUUUCAUGGGUUUAACAACAACAUUUUCAUCAUUGACACAAUUCAAUCAAAUUUCAUAUGUUUAUUAGCAACAUUUUCAUAAUUUACACAAUUCAAUCAAAACAACAACAUUUUCAUCAUUGACACAAUUCAAUCAAAUUUCAUAUGUUUAUUAGCAACAUUUUCAUAAUUUACACAAUUCAAUCAAAUUUCAUGGGUUUAACAACACAUUUUUAUCAUUUCCACAAUUUAAUCAAAUUUCAUGGGUUCAACAACAACAUUAUCAUCAUUCCCACAAUUCAUUCAAAUUUCAUGGGUUAAACAGCAACAUUUUCAUCAGUCACACAAUUCAAUCAAAUUUCAUGGGUUUAACAACAAAAUCUUCGUCAUUCACACAAUUCAAUCAAAUUUCAUAGGUUUAACAACAAAAUCUUCAUCAUUCACACAAUUCAAUAAAAUUACAUGGGUUUAACGUCAACAUUUUCAUCAUUGCCACAAAUCAAUCAAAUUCCAUGGGUUUAAUAGCAGCGUUUUCAUCAUUCACUCAAUUCAAUCUAAUUUUAUGGUUUUAAGAGCAACAUUUUCAUCAAUUCCAUAAUUCAAUCAAAUUCCAUGAGUUUAACAACAACAUAUUCAUUAUUCACACAAUUCAAUAAAAUUUCAUGGUUUUAAUAGCAAAAUUUUCAUCAUUCCCACAAUUCAAUCAAAUUUCAUGGGUUUAACAACAACAAUUUCAUCAUGCGCACAUUUUAACCAAUUUUCAUGAAUUUAACAACAACAAUUUCAUCAUUUUCACAAUUCAAUCAUCUUUCAUGGGUAUAAAAACAACAUUUUCAUCAUUGACACAAUUCAAUCAAAUUUCAUAUGUUUAAUAGCAACAUUUUCAUAAUUUACACAAUUCAAUCAAAUUUCAUGGGUUUAACAAUAACAUUUUCAUCAUUCCCACAAUUAAAUCAAAUUUCAUGGGUUCAACACCAAGUUUUUCAUCAUUCCCACAAUUCAAGGGAAUUUC
Molecule: long non-coding RNA, 1144 nt
Filed under: Lathyrus oleraceus (garden pea)
Lineage: Eukaryota; Viridiplantae; Streptophyta; Magnoliopsida; Fabales; Fabaceae
Description: Pisum sativum (pea) long non-coding RNA (PSAT_LNC039706)
Source: RNAcentral